This is a long non-coding RNA of Bombyx mandarina (wild silkworm), 706 nucleotides long. The record is from RefSeq and is a predicted model, not a curated record. NCBI's taxonomy places the organism in Eukaryota, Metazoa, Arthropoda, Insecta, Lepidoptera, Bombycidae.
CGCCGGUUCUAGACGGCUGCGCGCGCAUCGCCCUGAGACCUAGCGCAUUCCCAGCUCGGGACGCCAUGCCUACACCCUGCGAUUCUUGCAAAGCCACGUGCGGCGGAGGCACGGCGGCGUGCGGUGCCGCUUGCACAUGCGGCCCCAGCUGCGCCUGCGGAGAUGGCAAGCCCUCCGGGGACAAGCCAUGCUGCCAGGGCGGCAAAAAUUAAUUUAACUUUAACUCUAAUUUUUCACUUCGAUAAUGAAGAAUCUAUUUAAUAUUAGUAUUGUAAUGUAGAAUUCAAACAUUAUAAAAUGUAUAACCUUAUAAAAUAACGUUUCAAUUAAAUUCCGAAAAUAAUGAUAAUCAGAGUAAUGAUAAUGAUAGCAAUGGUAAUGAUAAUGAUAGCAAAGGUAAUGAUAAUGAUAGCAAUGGUAAUGAUAUAAAUGUCAGUACGAUAUGGAACUAUAUUGUUAAGCGCUUUUAUGUUUAGUUUUAAAUAUUUAAACGUAGAUUUUACUGCAUAAGUGUCUCUCCGCUUUUAGCUCUAGAUAUAAGUUAUAAUCUUAUCACAUUCAAUGUUUUACAAUUAAGCUUAAUAUUAUCUACAUACAAGAAAAUUAGUACUCAUAAUACUCAUUAAUUUUAAGGUUAUCAAAAUAAUGCGUAAAAGGCAUAAUAAUCGAUGUAAUAAUUGUCUAUGAUUAAUCCAAUAAAGUAAGC